GACGAACGCUGGCGGCGUGCUUAACACAUGCAAGUCGAACGAUGAUGCCAGCUUGCUGGUGGAUUAGUGGCGAACGGGUGAGUAACACGUGAGCAACCUGCCCCUGACUUCGGGAUAACCGCGGGAAACCGUGGCUAAUACCGGAUAUGACGCGCUAUCGCAUGGUGGUGUGUGGAAAGAUUUAUCGGUUGGGGAUGGGCUCGCGGCCUAUCAGCUUGUUGGUGGGGUGAUGGCCUACCAAGGCGACGACGGGUAGCCGGCCUGAGAGGGUGACCGGCCACGCUGGGACUGAGACACGGACCAGACUGCUACGGGAGGCAGCAGUGGGGAAUAUUGCACAAUGGGCGCAAGCCUGAUGCAGCGGCGCGGCGUGGGGGAUGACGGCCUUCGGGUUGUAGACCUCUUUCAGUAGGGAAGAAGGCCUUCGGGUUGACGGUACCUGCAGAAGAAGCGCCGGCUAACUACGUG
Molecule: ribosomal RNA, 468 nt
Filed under: uncultured bacterium
Lineage: Bacteria
Description: partial 16S ribosomal RNA
Rfam family: Bacterial small subunit ribosomal RNA
Source: RNAcentral